Molecule: long non-coding RNA, 1942 nt
Filed under: Schizosaccharomyces pombe (fission yeast)
Lineage: Eukaryota; Fungi; Ascomycota; Schizosaccharomycetes; Schizosaccharomycetales; Schizosaccharomycetaceae
Source: RNAcentral
ACAUGGGCUGCAAAACUUGCACUGCUUAAUCUGACAACCAACAUCGUCCAUACUGGUUUCGCAACCAACAAACCGACAAACUGGAUACUCUCUACUAGGGUAGAAACUUGGCUGUGAGGAGGUACUGUAAGAAGGUACUGCGAAUUCGGUUGCUCAAAACUGAAUUCAACAAUACUCCAGUUUAUUUUUUGGAUAACUCAUUCGAUCAUGCAAACUUGAGCUAUCGCUUGCUAAAUUUUCAUACUGCCUAUUCUAUAAUGGUUCGCAUGCUCCGCCGGCCUCCCAAUGCAAAUUCAACCAACACUAUGUAUUUUCAAAUCUUUCCAUCCAUCUGUCCCAUUCUCCCCUUCAAGAAAAUAGAUUAAGCCCAUUUAUCGAGCUCAUUAUCAAAUAUAACGUAAUGCAGGCUACUUUACAGUAAAACAUUAAUUGGUUCCUCUCUACCAUUUUUUCCUUAUACUCUUCGAACACAGUACGAUAUACAAUACACAAUACCAUACAAUAUACAAUAAUACCAUACACGGUUUAUGAUCAUGUGUCGUGUUUCAUCAAGCCAUUAGGCAUCAAAAUCAACAGUCAUUAAUAUCGCCAUUGUUACUGCCAUAGCAGAAAGCAAAGCUUUGUUUAACGAAUUUGCAUAAACUGGCCCAUCCGUCCCACAUCUUUGCAAAUGCUUCCUUUAGCACAGUUUUUAUUUCAUUUCUCUUGUUUAUACACUCUACACACGCUUCCUUCUCUUACUGUAAGAAAAGUGGAUUCGGCUUGAUUGCGCACAUGCAAACAAUUUCCAAUAUUCGCGGGGUCCUUCUAUCUCUCUCGCUUAAUAUAAGGUUUUUAUCUAGCGAUAUUCACGCAGGAUUGCGUUAAAUGCAUGGCAAAAGUUCAUGCCAAGUAAACAAUACACCAUUCCAAAAUCGCAACUUCUUUAGGACGAACAUUUUGAUUCAACUCUUCUCUCGUUUACAUUUCAACUUUUUUCGUCGACUUUACUAAAUUAAACAUUUUUUUAUUUUUACAUCUCUUUUCAUGUUCUCUUUAUAACUAAACUACUCCUCUCUUCAUUUUCCCUUUACAACUACUUUUUUCCGGAUUCUGCUUGCAUAUCAUUCAUUAAAGAGUUCUAUCCAUACACACCUUCCCUCCUUUCUUGACUUUCUAUUCAUUAUCCAAUGGACGAUUAAAUCCACCGGGUCGGUUCAUAUACUGUCUAUACUUGGUUUUCUUUUGCUUGUACACCUGGCCCACGUCUCCAUGCUUCUUCCCCGUCGUUGUGUCAAAUCCCGAAAAUCCCAUAAUACGUUUCAUCUCUGCCGUCGCUUCAUCCUCUUGUUCCACAAUUUCUUCCUCAGCGCUCUUUGUCCUCGUCAUCGCAUCGUGGCUUUUUCCUACUUCCAAAGACCCAUCCUUAUCCUCCUUUACUCCAUCCAUCUUGUCGCCUUGAUCAACAGGCCUUUCUUCCUCUUCUUUUGGAGAUGGUGCUUGCAAUUUUUCAUGCUCUCUUUUCCUUUCCAACCCCUCCCCUUCAGGAGAAAAGGGUGAGACACCGUCUCUUCGUUCCUUCCGAUCCCGUCGACCUUCAUAGUCUCGCUCUCGAAAUCUUUCUCGGCCAUGCUUCAGCUCCGGUUGCCAGUUUCGUUCAUGCUCUACUGGACGCCUAGGGCUUUCCUCUCGCACAGACUCUCGAUGCCUUUCGUAACGAUCGCGUCUUCUAGCUGGACUGUAAUCUCUACGUUGUGAAUCCUCGUAACGUCUACUACUUCUCUCGUCUCUAUAAUUUCGACGAUAUUCACGAUAAUCCCUGUCUCGUUGAUCACCGCGUGAGCGACUGGAUUCGUAAUUUCGGCCUUGCGCAUAAUUUCGACGGUGUUCACCGCUUCUUGACGAAGACAUUGCUACUAUACCAAAAAGGAAUCCCCGAUUAUCUUCUCCAAAACUUUUCAAC